This 499-nucleotide ribosomal RNA is filed under the name uncultured bacterium. Its description in RNAcentral is "bacterial SSU rRNA". It matches the Rfam family "Bacterial small subunit ribosomal RNA", at positions 15 to 507 of the family's 1533-position model. The record is from RNAcentral.
GAUCAUGGCUCAGAUUGAACGCUGGCGGCAUGCCUUACACAUGCAAGUCGAACGGCAGCACGGGUGCUUGCACCUGGUGGCGAGUGGCGAACGGGUGAGUAAUGUAUCGGAACGUACCAUUCAGUGGGGGAUAACGUAGCGAAAGUUACGCUAAUACCGCAUAUUCUCUGAGGAGGAAAGUAGGGGAUCGCAAGACCUUACGCUGAUUGAGCGGCCGAUAUCGGAUUAGCUAGUUGGUGAGGUAAAGGCUCACCAAGGCGACGAUCCGUAGCUGGUCUGAGAGGAUGAUCAGCCACACUGGAACUGAGACACGGUCCAGACUCCUACGGGAGGCAGCAGUGGGGAAUUUUGGACAAUGGGGGCAACCCUGAUCCAGCCAUGCCGCGUGAGUGAAGAAGGCCUUCGGGUUGUAAAGCUCUUUCGCGAGGGAAGAAAGCGCAACGGUUAAUACCCGUUGUGGAUGACGGUACCUUGAUAAGAAGCACCGGCUAACUACGUG